GACUCCGUGGCGCAAUGGUAGCGCUUCACACUCCAGAUCAGAAGGUUGUGUUUUCAAAUCACGUCGGGGUCA
This 72-nucleotide transfer RNA is filed under the name Nematostella vectensis (starlet sea anemone). It matches the Rfam family "tRNA". From Rfam's summary of the family: Transfer RNA (tRNA) molecules are approximately 80 nucleotides in length. Their secondary structure includes four short double-helical elements and three loops (D, anti-codon, and T loops). Further hydrogen bonds mediate the characteristic L-shaped molecular structure. tRNAs have two regions of fundamental functional importance: the anti-codon, which is responsible for specific mRNA codon recognition, and the 3' end, to which the tRNAs corresponding amino acid is attached (by aminoacyl-tRNA synthetases). tRNAs cope with the degeneracy of the genetic code in two manners: having more than one tRNA (with a specific anti-codon) for a particular amino acid; and 'wobble' base-pairing, i.e. permitting non-standard base-pairing at the 3rd anti-codon position. Lineage: Eukaryota; Metazoa; Cnidaria; Anthozoa; Actiniaria; Edwardsiidae. The record is from Rfam by way of RNAcentral.